RNAcentral lists this long non-coding RNA (374 nucleotides) under Brassica napus (rape). Its description in RNAcentral is "long non-coding RNA (BNAP_LNC025438)". The record is from RNAcentral. Lineage: Eukaryota; Viridiplantae; Streptophyta; Magnoliopsida; Brassicales; Brassicaceae.
CAUGUUUCUAAGAAAAAUGAACAAUUCUACAUCGUUAUAUCUUCUUCUUUUGAUGGACUGGAAACACAGGAAACAUAUGUUGAUUUGGCUUCCAUAUAUAUUUGAUUAUUUGACUCCGUUUUUCUCCAUCCUCUAUCACAUCGACUAGGAUUCAUCCUGAAUCUGAAACAAAAAAGUAAUAGUAAAAUUUUUAAAUGAAUAUCAGAGAAUACAACAAAUACAAAGUAUACACCAAAUUACCGAUAUUAAACACUCUGAAUUAAGGUUUUGUUUGUUACCUUCGUUAAUUAACUGGCAUGCGUUACGUGUAAUUCUAGUUUCACAAUCUCUCUUUCGUUGAAGAGGAAGCAGAACAUGGAAACUUAAUUUUCCAC